Molecule: ribosomal RNA, 304 nt
Filed under: uncultured bacterium
Lineage: Bacteria
Description: bacterial SSU rRNA
Rfam family: Bacterial small subunit ribosomal RNA
Source: RNAcentral
GACGAACGCUGGCGGCGUGCUUAACACAUGCAAGUCGAGCGGAAAGGCCUCUUCGGGGGUACUCGAGCGGCGAACGGGUGAGUAACACGUGAGUAAUCUGCCCUUGGCUUCGGGAUAGCCACCGGAAACGGUGAUUAAUACCGGAUAUGACCGCUCCAGGCAUUUGGUGGUGGUGGAAAGUUUUUCGGCCAGGGAUGUGCUCGCGGCCUAUCAGCUUGUUGGUGGGGUAAUGGCCUACCAAGGCUUCGACGGGUAGCCGGCCUGAGAGGGUGACCGGCCACACUGGGACUGAGACACGGCCCAG